UGUAUCCUCGACCGUCAGAGGGUGGCGCUUGAUUUUAUUUUUAUUAUUUACCGUGCCUUUUUUUCUUGCUGAGGUGAAACGCGAUGCACGACGAUUGCCCCGUUUGACAGCUGCUCAUGAUUUUUCUUCAAUGACCCAACGAGCACCGUCCGUCUUCAUCACACUCCUACACACCCACACAAACACACACAGGGAGAUCCGCUUACCGCAUCAACGCUCGCUAAUUGGGGACGGUCAAAUGUUAUGACGCGCCAAACGUCAACCGGUCGGUCUCUACAGCCGUUGCGCCGCUUGCGCACCCACCAAGCAACAACGAGGAGAAAAAAGGUGUCGCUUUCAUCGAGUUAGUAGUGCUUUUGCUAGGACGAGCAGAAGUGGACGCACGGUGAUUUGAAGGUGAGAAGGUAAUAGCCGCGCGGUGGUGGUAUUGAAAAAAUGUCAAAAAUUCGUCGUGAAACCGAACCGGCGCCCAGCAACCAGCGUCGUGACAAGCAAAUUAACUCGAGUCAAGUCAAGCACCGUAGUAGUAGUAGCAGCCGUAGCAGUAAAGCCACACGGCGCUGAGUAGCGAGCACUUCCCACUUGUUCCGUAUUCGGACGUGGCUCUUGUUGGCCAGCAAAUCUCAGUAUCACUCCGUCGUCGGAGCCUGCCAAAAACCUGCUUAUCAUUUCAGGAAGCACACUAAUUGAGGAUAAGACUUCUUUGUCUCGGUCGGCAUACCGAAGCAGAAGCAGGAGAAGAGGACGUUCAAAUACAGCAUGUUCGUCUCUCGCAGGGAAAAUCGAUUUAUCUUGUCCGUAAAUGGGGAGAAAAGCUACCGACAUUCCACCAAAGCUGAACAAUUGGGGAAGAUUGGACAAAUGUGUUUGUGUUGCAGCGAAGGGAAGGAACACACCCCGACAGCACCGAAGGUAGGUUCCAUCAAUAAUUUUCCAUUCCCAUCCUUCGUACAAGAGUUCCUGGAAGAGAUUUCCAGAUUUCAGAUAUUUUCCCGAAAAAUCAGUCCACCGAAACAUCCGGCUGGACAGAACGGAGGCGCGAUAAAAAUUUCGUGCGUGUGUGAGUGUGUGUUGUCUCUCCCGAGGGUUUUGGAAAGAGUUUGGGAAGGGGAAAAUCAAACAACCUAUCUGAACGAUGUAUCGAAAUGGAAUCGGACGAAGGGCAAUCAUAAAAUUUCCCCAACAUCACCCAGCCACCAAGUCCACCAGAGGAUUGGGGGUGAAAAAAGAAACGACGAGUCAAAUGCUGAGCAUGAAUUAUGAUUAUCCAAAAGGCAUCGAGGCGCCCAAAACGCUCUCACACACAUACACGGAAUGUCCACCCAAAUGGCCAACACGAAAAAGAAAAACCUUCGACAAGGCAAUAAAGAUAACGAUAAGCACAUAAAUUACCUUGCCGAGGGAUCGAUCCCCCAGCACUGCUUCUCUACACUUUACCACCAUAGACACAGUGAGAAGGUACGGGAGCGCGACAAAAACCCAAAAACCCGAUAAAGUAACAUCGUUUCUGUGCAGUUUCCCAUUCAGCCGGUGAGUACAGGAAAAAAAAAAACGAGACGAAACAGUUCCCAAAACCUCUGGAUUGAUAACGUCUGUGCCCGGUCGUAGCGGGCCCUGGGACGGUUUCGUAAUGGUCCAUCAGUUUGACAGUUGUUUCUGGGGAAACUAUUUUUACCCAGUUCGUUCCCGGCACGCGGCUAUCGGGAAAACACCUUGCGGAUGUUCUCGGGGGAGGAGGUACGCGUAUCAGCAAGCGACACUAAAUCUCUGCUCGCGAUAAGCUUCGGUAGGAGUAGUUAGUUGUUCGUUGAGGUUUCUGUUAGUGUUCCUUGUAAAAGUUAUUUACAAGGAAUUCUGUAUUCUUGGCCUAAUACACACUCGGCUGAAGCAGUUAAAAGUCAUCUUUAGUCUAGGGAUUGCAUACUUCCAGGAGCUGUAACCAAUCUCAACUGAUACUGUGUGACUUCCUUCAGGAGCUUAAUGUCUGGCAUACCGCCACGAGGAUAAGAUCAUCAAAACCACGAAAUUGUACAUAUCACCAUCGUUGAUAUAUUUUUUAUCUUGUCUUAUUAUACUACUGGGAAUCCCGACGUUCUAUUAUUAUAGCACAAUCUAAAUUACAUCAUUUAAUCAAUUAGUAUCAACGCUUUCCGCUGCACUGUUCCUAACAAUCGAGCCGAUCAAUCCGAUCCAAUCACCUUCGAUGCCGCCCGGAUCCGUUUCACGGUUAUUAUCGCGACUGGGCAAAGAAAAGCGAGCAGGGAAAGCACCACCAGCAAGCAUCUGGAGAUGACGCGCGAAACCUUUCUUCUCCAGCUGGGCGAAUGGUACCAAAAUACAAAAAAGGAAAGAAAAUCUCCACGACUACAGCACAGCUACAGUAAAAUAAAUACCCACCGACCGGCCCGGGCCAAGUGGGCAAGUAAUUAAUAAAGCAAAGAAACGGUACGUGAUUCCCGUGACAGCCGGAGGACUUAAUUGAGCGAGUGUUUGAGCAUCCAGGCCGUGUAACUAGUGUGUGUGUGUACGGGGUAAUUUUCCUUGGUAUAGAUGCCAUGAAAACCAAUUAAACAGGAAUCAAAUGAGCAUCAUCACCCGCCAUCAUCUUCGUCAACACGGAACGGUCCAGUCAUGGCAUCGGCGGUAAGUAGUGAAAAGUCGCGCAAAGUCACUGUUUUCUUACGAUCCUGGGAAGGAUGGUAUGGGUAUGUUAUUUUUUCGUUUUCUUUUUUUACUUUGAAUUUCCCAACAAGCGGAAGCACACAGACGCUUCGAUAGAUUCGUGACCUCGACCGGUGGAGCUUAUCGGUUGACGGCAGAACCCAACCCCGGAAAAAAAAA
Molecule: long non-coding RNA, 2841 nt
Organism: Anopheles stephensi (Asian malaria mosquito)
Lineage: Eukaryota; Metazoa; Arthropoda; Insecta; Diptera; Culicidae
Exons: 3
Source: RefSeq, a predicted model, not a curated record